CACACGUGCUAGAUGGCGGGCCAAGUGUCCGGAAGUAGAAAACCCGCAAGAUUGCGUUACUUUAUAAUACUGUAUUACGUUACAUAUUUAGUUUUGUUAUGUGAUCAUGUUGUAAUUCGAGAUAGGUAAAAAAGGGGGUUGUGCCCCUAGAGUUGAGAUGCGAGUGUACUAUUACUACGGAGAGUUUGUGAUCAAGAAAUAAAGUAAAGAGAAUAUAAGUGAGUUUAUUUGGUUGUCCCCGACAAGCUCAACACAAGUUCAAAGUCAAACUGUUGGUAUCACCUUUGCCACAGACCAAAUGCAAGUGGGCUUUUUUGUGGGUACCAGGGGGUGAAGCUUGCGAGGCACAUCAAAAGGCAACAUUCCAAGGAAUCUGAAGUGGCCUGCCAGCUUGCAGGAACGAGUAAAAAGAACAAAGUAAAAGAACACGAAAGGCUCCGGCUCCUCGGUGAUUAUCACCACAAUUGCAAUGUCCUGAGCUUAGGCGAAGGACAACUGAUUGUGGUAUGCCUACCUCCCUUGUAAGUCGUGCCUUGGGUUUCACAAGGGGGACGACCUUUGGAGGCACAGAAAGAAGUGUGCGUUUAAACAGCAUGGGACAGACGAAGAAGUUGGUAUCACCUUUGCCACAGACCAAAUGCAAGUGGGCUUUUUUGUGGGUACCAGGGGGUGAAGCUUGCGAGGCACAUCAAAAGGCAACAUUCCAAGGAAUCUGAAGUGGCCUGCCAGCUUGCAGGAACGAGUAAAAAGAACAAAGUAAAAGAACACGAAAGGCUCCGGCUCCUCGGUGAUUAUCACCACAAUUGCAAUGUCCGGAGCUUAGGCGAAGGACAACUGAUUGUGGUAUGCCUACCUCCCUUGUAAGUCGUGCCUUGGGUUUCACAAGGGGGACGACCUUUGGAGGCACAGAAAGAAGUGUGCGUUUAAACAGCAUGGGACAGACAAAGAAGCCAACCUAUAUACCAAAUCUGUAUACGGUGAAGUGAAUAAAUUGUAUUGUGAGCGUGACGAGGUCGGCUUCGUGGCCAAGCACGAUGAACUAAUAAUACAGAUGGGGAACUGCCUCUAUGAUCAGCAUGGCGAGAGGCAGGCUACUUAUAUGAGCACCAAAAUGAGGGAGAUAGCCAGAUUGGUGCUCGAGGUUAAAAUAAAUGAACCGAGCCAACAUGGCCUGACUGAACUCAUCACUUCCCGAAAUUUCGCCCUGGUAAAAGAGGGGGUGAAGCGGGUUGCCGGCUUUAGUGGUGCCCGGCAUAUCUUCACCAUCCCUAGCGCACUUCACUAGUGCACUUCACUGAAGUGGGCAACUGGGCUCAGGCGCCAAGAUGAUGCAGCUAUCCUCCAUCUUAUGGAUAUAGAGUGGGCUCAAAAGGUAUGGAUCUGUUCAUUCCACAUUAUGUUAGAUCCUUGUGGUCCGCCCUAAAAUUAGUGUAGUCAGUUACAACCGCAGCAUUUAACACUUUUGGCUUAAUUUGAUGUUUUUUUAAAUAUAAAAAGUUCAGCAUUUAUACUGAUUAUAAAAAGAAUAGUGAUAAUGACUUUCAAGCUAUUCUAAAAGAAACUAAUGUGUUAAUAUAUUUUCAGGUAUCUUCCAAGUCCCUAGCCUCUGUCGGAGAGAGAAAAUACAACAAAAUUAAUCUACUUCCUCUGGCGGAGGAUCUUGCAAUGCUUAGGGCGUACCUGGACAAAAAUCCCCAGACAAGAAAGUGAAAUUUUAGUUUGGGUUAGGCUACACCUAUAAAAAGGAUAUCACAGACUCGUGUAAUACAAAUGUUUACCCAACAGAGAAGCAUAGUGCUGGCAUACCAGAAAUGCAUAAAGCUAAUGUUUUUUUAAUUUAUUUUCCAG
Molecule: long non-coding RNA, 1848 nt
Organism: Nematostella vectensis (starlet sea anemone)
Lineage: Eukaryota; Metazoa; Cnidaria; Anthozoa; Actiniaria; Edwardsiidae
Exons: 4
Source: RefSeq, a predicted model, not a curated record